CGCACGCUCGUCGGCGCUCGUGGUGCUCGCAGUGCUCGUUCGCUGUGUCGCAGGCGUUUCUUUGAUUGUUGUCUGUGGUCGCCUGCUCCCUGCCGUACUUGCGCGGAGUCUAUGUAGUUGGUAGCUGCGGUGAAGUCUUUUUCGGCGGUUUGUGUGCUCCUUCGUGCGUGAGAUGGCUGUUUGUCUUACACAGAGGGUGACAUUCAAAAACUUUGCCGUCGUAAAACCUGCCGCCGCUUGGUUCAGGGGCUUGCGAGCACUGCAUUGUUUUGCAUUCUUUCCCUUGGCAGCUGACAACUUUGAAUACGGUACAAAGAAAGAUACUGUAGAUGGGAAAACACAGGCUACUGUCAGUGGUCUGAUUUCUGGGCCAACUGAGGAUAUCAAAAGCACCAUUCUUAAGUCUGCGCUUGACUUUAUUCCUCAGCAUGGCUGGACGUGGAAGUCCAUAGCAGCUGGUGCCAGUUCCUUGGGGCUCUCCAGCGUUGCGCACGGCCUUUUUCCAGGUGGGAGUGUUGAUCUGAUAACAUAUUUCUACUUGUCCUCAAAUGAUGAACUGGAGCGCCAACUUGAAAGCAAUGUACAGAAGAAUGAGCGGAGAACUGUAACCAAGGAAAAGUCUGCCUUCAUCCAAGAUGCUGUAUGGAGAAGAAUUUUGCUCCUUGAGCCAUACAAAACCAGAUGGGUCCAGGCACUUGGAAUCUUGGCUUUGCCUCAAAAUGUCCCAGUUGCACUGUCCAACCUGGGAGACCUGCUGAAUGUCAUUUGGCACUAUGCAGGUGACAUGUCAACUGAUAUGAGCUGGUACUCGAAAAGAGCUGCUUUAGCUGCACUCUACCAGAGCUCCGAACUUGUGUUUCUGCAAGAUAAGUCUAUGGACUAUGCUCAGACACAAGAGUUUCUCAACAGACGCAUCAAGGAGUUUACCGCUGUUAACAGCUGCCUGGAGCAGCCCCUUACCCAAGUGAAAGCUUAUUUCUGCAGCACGAGGUAUCAGUGCUGCAUAAAGGAAAUGAUGACUAAGUGAAUCAAGUCAGUGGUACUGCAAAGGAUGUAGCUGAACUGGGAUUUGCUACGCUAAAGAAUGUUCUGGGAAUGAACACUCGUUAACAAAAAAAACAGUUUGGAUUAUGUGUAUUUCAAUAAGCAAUUGGUGCAAAUAAAUUUGAUCAGACCUUCUGAUGUA
Molecule: RNA transcript, 1186 nt
Organism: Dermacentor silvarum
Lineage: Eukaryota; Metazoa; Arthropoda; Arachnida; Ixodida; Ixodidae
Gene: Coq9
Gene name: ubiquinone biosynthesis protein COQ9, mitochondrial-like
Exons: 9
Source: RefSeq, a predicted model, not a curated record